GACGAACGCUGGCGGCGUGCUUAACACAUGCAAGUCGAACGGAAAGGCCCUGCUUUUGUGGGGUGCUCGAGUGGCGAACGGGUGAGUAACACGUGAGUAACCUGCCCUUGACUUUGGGAUAACUUCAGGAAACUGGGGCUAAUACCGGAUAGGAGCUCCUGCUGCAUGGUGGGGGUUGGAAAGUUUCGGCGGUUGGGGAUGGACUCGCGGCUUAUCAGCUUGUUGGUGGGGUAGUGGCUUACCAAGGCUUUGACGGGUAGCCGGCCUGAGAGGGUGACCGGCCACAAUGGGACUGAGAUACGGCCCAGACUCCUACGGGAGGCAGAAGUGGGGAAUAUUGCACAAUGGGCGGAAGCCUGAGGCAGCAACGCCGCGUGCGGAAUGACGGCCUUCGGGUUGUAGACCGCUUUCGCCUGUGACGAAGCGUGAGUGACGGUAAUGGGUAAAGAAGCACCGGCUAACUACGUG
RNAcentral lists this ribosomal RNA (468 nucleotides) under uncultured bacterium. RNAcentral describes it as "partial 16S ribosomal RNA". It matches the Rfam family "Bacterial small subunit ribosomal RNA", at positions 28 to 507 of the family's 1533-position model. The record is from RNAcentral.